This 608-nucleotide ribosomal RNA is filed under the name Leuconostoc mesenteroides. RNAcentral describes it as "bacterial SSU rRNA". It matches the Rfam family "Bacterial small subunit ribosomal RNA", at positions 239 to 837 of the family's 1533-position model. Lineage: Bacteria; Bacillati; Bacillota; Bacilli; Lactobacillales; Lactobacillaceae. The record is from RNAcentral.
CAUUAGUUAGUUGGUGGGGUAAAGGCCUACCAAGACAAUGAUGCAUAGCCGAGUUGAGAGACUGAUCGGCCACAUUGGGACUGAGACACGGCCCAAACUCCUACGGGAGGCUGCAGUAGGGAAUCUUCCACAAUGGGCGAAAGCCUGAUGGAGCAACGCCGCGUGUGUGAUGAAGGCUUUCGGGUCGUAAAGCACUGUUGUAUGGGAAGAACAGCUAGAAUAGGAAAUGAUUUUAGUUUGACGGUACCAUACCAGAAAGGGACGGCUAAAUACGUGCCAGCAGCCGCGGUAAUACGUAUGUCCCGAGCGUUAUCCGGAUUUAUUGGGCGUAAAGCGAGCGCAGACGGUUUAUUAAGUCUGAUGUGAAAGCCCGGAGCUCAACUCCGGAAUGGCAUUGGAAACUGGUUAACUUGAGUGCAGUAGAGGUAAGUGGAACUCCAUGUGUAGCGGUGGAAUGCGUAGAUAUAUGGAAGAACACCAGUGGCGAAGGCGGCUUACUGGACUGCAACUGACGUUGAGGCUCGAAAGUGUGGGUAGCAAACAGGAUUAGAUACCCUGGUAGUCCACACCGUAAACGAWGAACGGCUAGGUGUUAGGAGGUUUCCGCC